This 1971-nucleotide ribosomal RNA is filed under the name Phoronis australis. RNAcentral's name for it is "bacterial LSU rRNA". It matches the Rfam family "Bacterial large subunit ribosomal RNA", at positions 58 to 2046 of the family's 2925-position model. The record is from RNAcentral. Lineage: Eukaryota; Metazoa; Phoronida; Phoronidae.
GUGAUAAGCUGCGAUAAGCUUCGGUGAGGUGCAAAUAACCGCUAACCCGAAGAUUUCCGAAUGGGGCAACCCACCUACUAUGUAGGUAUCCCGCAAGGGAGGCAAACCCGGAGAACUGAAACAUCUAAGUACCCGGAGGAGAAGAAAACAAAAGUGAUUCCCUUAGUAGUGGCGAUCGAAAAGGGACCAGCCCAAACCAGUAUUGUUUCGGCAAUGCUGGGGUUAUAGGACUACGAUAUGAUAAAGUGCGUGAAGUGAAACGCUUUGGAAAGAGCGGCCAAAGAGAGUGAUAGCCUCGUCCACGUAAGCAAUCUGCAUCUAGUAGUAUCCUGAGUAGCGCGGAACACGAGAAAUUCUGUGUGAAUUUGCCAGGACCAUCUGGUAAGGCUAAAUACUCCUGAGAGACCGAUAGUGAACAAGUACCGUGAGGGAAAGGUGAAAAGCACCUCGAAUAGAGGAGUGAAAUAGUACCUGAAACCAUACGCUUACAAGCGGUCGGAGCACCUUUGGGUGUGACGGCGUGCCUUUUGCAUAAUGAGCCUACGAGUUACUCCUCACUAGCAAGAUUAAGAUCUUCAGGAUCGAAGUCGAAGCGAAAGCGAGUCUGAAUAGGGCGAAUAAGUUAGUGGGGGUAGACGCGAAACUUGGUGAUCUACCCAUGGUCAGGCUGAAGCUCUGUUAAUCCAGAGUGGAGGGCCCAACCCGUUGACGUUGAAAAGUCUUGGGAUGAACUGUGGGUAGGGGUGAAAGGCCAAUCAAACUGAGAAAUAGCUCGUACUCCCCGAAAUGCAUUUAGGUGCAGCGUCAGAGUUAAGAGUUAUAGAGGUAGAGCUACUGAUUGGAUGCGAGGGCUUCACCGCCUAUCAAAUCCAGACAAACUCCGAAUGCUAUAACUUAUAUCUGGCAGUGAGCCCGUGGGUGCUAAGGUCCACGGACGAGAGGGAAAGAACCCAGACCAUCAGCUAAGGUCCCCAAAUGUAUGCUAAGUUGAACAAACGUGGUAAGAUUGCAUAGACAGCUAGGAUGUUGGCUUGGAAGCAGCCAUUCAUUUAAAGAGUGCGUAACAGCUCACUAGUCGAGCGAUCUUGCGUGGAUGAUAAUCGGGCAUAAGUAUACUACCGAAGCUAUGGACUUGCGUUGAAAGACACGCAUUUGGUAGGGGAGCAUUCUAAACCGCGUAGAAGGUGUGUGGUAAUGCACGCUGGAGCGUUUAGAAAAGCAAAUGUAGGCAUAAGUAACGAUAAUGCGGGUGAGAAACCCGCACGCCAAUAGACUAAGGUUUCCUGAUCAACGCUAAUCGGAUCAGGGUAAGUCGGGACCUAAGGUUAACCCGAAAGGGGAUAUCGAUGGACAACCGGUUAAUAUUCCGGUACCCGUUUUAACUGCGAUGGGGUGACGAAGAGAUGAUAAUGCCGCGUACUGACGGAAUAGUACGUUGAAGGCCGUAUGCUAUGAGACUGGUAGGCAAAUCCGCCAGUUGAGCUGAAAGCUGAUAGUACCGCAAUGCUUCGGCAGCGUGGAUAGUGCAUGUAAUUUGACUUCCAAGAAAAACCUCUAAGCAUCAGGUUAAAAUGGCCCGUACCUCAAACCGACACAGGUAGUCAAGUAGAGAAUACUAAGGCGCUCGAGUGAUUCAUGGCUAAGGAACUCGGCAAAAUAACUCCGUAACUUCGGGAGAAGGAGUGCUCUCAGCGAUGAGAGCCGCAGUGAAAUGGCCCAGGCGACUGUUUAUCAAAAACACAUGGCUUUGCAAAAACGAAAGUUGAAGUAUAAGGCCUGACACCUGCCCGGUGCCGGAAGGUUAAGAGGAGAUGUUAGCUUCGGCGAAGCAUUGAAUUGAAGCCCUGGUAAACGGCGGCCGUAACUAUAACGGUCCUAAGGUAGCGAAAUUCCUUGUCGGGUAAGUUCCGACCUGCACGAAUGGUGUAACGAUCUGGGUGCUGUCUCAGCUGUAGACUCGGUGAAAUUAAA